UUUUAUGGAGAGUUUGAUCCUGGCUCAGGAUGAACGCUGGCGGCGUGCCUAAUACAUGCAAGUCGAGCGAACAGACGAGGAGCUUGCUCCUCUGACGUUAGCGGCGGACGGGUGAGUAACACGUGGAUAACCUACCUAUAAGACUGGGAUAACUUCGGGAAACCGGAGCUAAUACCGGAUAAUAUAUUGAACCGCAUGGUUCAAUAGUGAAAGACGGUUUU
Molecule: ribosomal RNA, 221 nt
Filed under: Staphylococcus epidermidis
Lineage: Bacteria; Bacillati; Bacillota; Bacilli; Caryophanales; Staphylococcaceae
Description: partial 16S ribosomal RNA
Rfam family: Bacterial small subunit ribosomal RNA
Source: RNAcentral